This 396-nucleotide ribosomal RNA is filed under the name uncultured bacterium. RNAcentral's name for it is "bacterial SSU rRNA". It matches the Rfam family "Bacterial small subunit ribosomal RNA", at positions 28 to 428 of the family's 1533-position model. The record is from RNAcentral.
GACGAACGCUGGCGGCGUGCUUAACACAUGCAAGUCGAGCGGUAAGGCCCUUUCGGGGGUACACGAGCGACGAACGGGUGAGUAACACGUGGGUGACCUGCCCUCAGCUCUGGGAUAAGCCUGGGAAACCGGGUCUAAUACUGGAUAUGACUCCAUGACGCAUGUUGUGGGGUGGAAAGCCUUGUGCGGCUGAGGAUGGGCCCGCGGCCUAUCAGCUUGUUGGUGGGGUGANGGCCUACCAAGGCGACGACGGGUAGCCGGCCUGAGAGGGCGACCGGCCACACUGGGACUGAGACACGGCCCAGACUCCUACGGGAGGCAGCAGUGGGGAAUCUUGCGCAAUGGGCGAAAGCCUGACGCAGCGACGCCGCGUGAGGGAUGACGGCCUGGUUGUAA